Anguilla rostrata (American eel) is the source of this 132-nucleotide long non-coding RNA. RefSeq lists it as uncharacterized. The record is from RefSeq and is a predicted model, not a curated record. The transcript has 2 exons. NCBI's taxonomy places the organism in Eukaryota, Metazoa, Chordata, Actinopteri, Anguilliformes, Anguillidae.
GAAAUAUCAGCGCACAGGGCACAGUGACAGAUGAAAUAUCAGCGCACAGGGAAAUGUGCAGUGUGAAAUAUCAGCGCACAGGGCACAGUGACAGAGUGAAUAUCAGCGCACAGGGCACAGUGACAGAGUGAA